RNAcentral lists this ribosomal RNA (584 nucleotides) under Staphylococcus aureus. RNAcentral describes it as "partial 23S ribosomal RNA". It matches the Rfam family "Bacterial large subunit ribosomal RNA", at positions 2319 to 2904 of the family's 2925-position model. The record is from RNAcentral. Lineage: Bacteria; Bacillati; Bacillota; Bacilli; Caryophanales; Staphylococcaceae.
CCCUCAGAAUGGUUGGAAAUCAUUCAUAGAGUGUAAAGGCAUAAGGGAGCUUGACUGCGAGACCUACAAGUCGAGCAGGGUCGAAAGACGGACUUAGUGAUCCGGUGGUUCCGCAUGGAAGGGCCAUCGCUCAACGGAUAAAAGCUACCCCGGGGAUAACAGGCUUAUCUCCCCCAAGAGUUCACAUCGACGGGGAGGUUUGGCACCUCGAUGUCGGCUCAUCGCAUCCUGGGGCUGUAGUCGGUCCCAAGGGUUGGGCUGUUCGCCCAUUAAAGCGGUACGCGAGCUGGGUUCAGAACGUCGUGAGACAGUUCGGUCCCUAUCCGUCGUGGGCGUAGGAAAUUUGAGAGGAGCUGUCCUUAGUACGAGAGGACCGGGAUGGACAUACCUCUGGUGUACCAGUUGUCGUGCCAACGGCAUAGCUGGGUAGCUAUGUGUGGACGGGAUAAGUGCUGAAAGCAUCUAAGCAUGAAGCCCCCCUCAAGAUGAGAUUUCCCAACUUCGGUUAUAAGAUCCCUCAAAGAUGAUGAGGUUAAUAGGUUCGAGGUGGAAGCAUGGUGACAUGUGGAGCUGACGAAUACUAA